AUAUUUCGUCUGGGGUGCCUGAAACGGCUGAGAUUACACCCAUCGAACCUGAUGUAGUUUGUACUGCCGAAGGAAGAGCGAAUUUAAUGUUGA
This 93-nucleotide non-coding RNA is filed under the name Lentilactobacillus buchneri. Its description in RNAcentral is "Lactobacillus buchneri TPP sequence". It matches the Rfam family "TPP riboswitch aptamer (THI element)". Rfam says of the family: Vitamin B(1) in its active form thiamin pyrophosphate (TPP) is an essential coenzyme that is synthesised by coupling of pyrimidine and thiazole moieties in bacteria. The previously detected thiamin-regulatory element, thi box was extended, resulting in a new, highly conserved RNA secondary structure, the THI element, which is widely distributed in eubacteria and also occurs in some archaea. The record is from RNAcentral. Lineage: Bacteria; Bacillati; Bacillota; Bacilli; Lactobacillales; Lactobacillaceae. RNAcentral also lists the same sequence under 1 other name.